RNAcentral lists this ribosomal RNA (475 nucleotides) under uncultured bacterium. RNAcentral's name for it is "partial 16S ribosomal RNA". It matches the Rfam family "Bacterial small subunit ribosomal RNA", at positions 29 to 523 of the family's 1533-position model. The record is from RNAcentral.
AAUGAACGCUGGCGGCAUGCCUAACACAUGCAAAUCGAACGCAGUCUUCGGACUGAGUGGCGCACGGGUGAGUAACACGUAACUGACCUACCCCCAAGUCGCGGAUAACUGGCCGAAAGGUCAGCUAAUACGUGAUGUGAUUUCCCCUUUCUGGGGGGCCAUUAAAGGUUUACUGCUUGGGGAUGGGGUUGCGUUCCAUCAGCUAGUUGGCGGGGUAAAGGCCCACCAAGGCAACGACGGAUAGCCGGCCUGAGAGGGUGGCCGGCCACAGGGGCACUGAGACACGGGUCCCACUCCUACGGGAGGCAGCAGUUAGGAAUCUUCCACAAUGGGCGAAAGCCUGAUGGAGCGACGCCGCGUGAGGGAUGAAGGUUCUCGGAUCGUAAACCUCUGAAUCAGGGACGAAAGACGCGUAAGCGGGAUGACGGUACCUGAGUAAUAGCACCGGCUAACUCCGUGCCAGCCGCCGCCGUAA